This 363-nucleotide unclassified non-coding RNA is filed under the name uncultured fungus. Its description in RNAcentral is "sequence contains ITS1". The record is from RNAcentral. Lineage: Eukaryota; Fungi.
UUUUUUCAUUAAUUUUUAUCGUCGCCAGAGAGAGUAAACUCAGUGGUUUCGAAUUAUUGAGAAUUGCAAUCAGAGUAACAUUAAAAAUGUUGCUAGGUUUGUUUUGGGGUUUCUAGAGUUCAGGUGGGUGGGAGAGUGACGCCGGUUUUACGGGCAGUCAAACUCCCAGACUCCUGAAACACUAAAAGGUUAUUUCCUUGGGACGCAAGGGUCAGACUUGGGGAUGUUUAAAGUCCCCGCAUCCUUCUCUUGUUUUUUGCCGCGAGUCUGGGUCAGUGCCUGGUUUUACCCAGACGCAGUCCCAGGGUCUACGCGGCGAAAAGAGGUGUGGUAAUGAUCCUUCCGCAGGUUCACCUACGGAAA